UAGAGGCUAAAUAAAAGUGUUCCUUCUACCCUAAACCAUGUUGGUUUUUUUUCUAUAGAAAAAACAGCUCCAAAGAAGCAGCUGAAAGAGCGCAAAGAAAAAGCAACUCACACACCAAAAGUAAUGAAAGAUUUUGAUGAAGUGCCAUCUUCAAAGAAAGCCAAAGGUGAGCUUGUCACAGCCAGUUUGCUUCUAAGCUGUUCUCAGUGAAGUUUGUUA
This 219-nucleotide long non-coding RNA is filed under the name Phascolarctos cinereus (koala). RNAcentral's name for it is "lncRNA (ENSPCIG00000023943.2)". Lineage: Eukaryota; Metazoa; Chordata; Mammalia; Diprotodontia; Phascolarctidae. The record is from RNAcentral.